This 428-nucleotide ribosomal RNA is filed under the name uncultured archaeon. RNAcentral describes it as "bacterial SSU rRNA". It matches the Rfam family "Archaeal small subunit ribosomal RNA", at positions 474 to 903 of the family's 1478-position model. The record is from RNAcentral.
UACCGGCGGCUCGAGUGGUGACCACUUUUAUUGGGCUUAAAGCGUCCGUAGCUGGAUUGUUAAGUCUCUUGGGAAAUCCGCCGGCUUAACCGGCGGGCGUCUAAGGGAUACUGGCAAUCUAGGGACCGAGAGAGGUGAGAGGUACUCCGGGGGUAGAAGUGAAAUUCUGUAAUCCUCGGGGGACCACCUGUGGCGAAGGCGUCUCACCAGAACGGCUCCGACAGUGAGGGACGAAAGCUGGGGGAGCAAACCGGAUUAGAUACCCGGGUAGUCCCAGCCGUAAACGAUGCGCGUUAGGUGUACUGGCGACCACGAGUCGCCGGGGUGCCGAAGGGAACCGUGAAACGUGCCGCCUGGGAAGUACGGUCGCAAGGCUGAAACUUAAAGGAAUUGGCGGGGAGCACCACAACGGGUGGAGCCUGCGGUUU